Molecule: ribosomal RNA, 324 nt
Filed under: uncultured eukaryote
Lineage: Eukaryota
Description: partial 18S ribosomal RNA
Rfam family: Eukaryotic small subunit ribosomal RNA
Source: RNAcentral
CCCUUAGAUGUUCUGGGCCGCACGCGCGCUACACUGACGAAUGCAACGAGCUUAUAACCUUGGCCGAAAGGUCUGGGUAAUCUCCAAAUUUCGUCGUGAUGGGGAUAGAUUAUUGCAAUUAUUAAUCUUCAACGAGGAAUGCCUAGUAAGCGCAAGUCAUCAGCUUGCGUUGAUUACGUCCCUGCCCUUUGUACACACCGCCCGUCGCUCCUACCGAUUGAAUGGUCCGGUGAAGUCUCGAGAUUGUGGCAAUCUCCUUUAUUGGAGUUUGACUGCGAGAACUUGCCUAAACCUUAUCACUUAGAGGAAGGUGAAGUCGUAACA